This 66-nucleotide transfer RNA is filed under the name Altica cirsicola. RNAcentral describes it as "tRNA-Val". Lineage: Eukaryota; Metazoa; Arthropoda; Insecta; Coleoptera; Chrysomelidae. RNAcentral also lists the same sequence under 4 other names. The record is from RNAcentral.
CAAAUUAAAGUUUUAAAAAUAUUUUAUUUACAUUAAAAAGUUAAUUGUUAAAUCAAUUUAAUUUGA